This 526-nucleotide ribosomal RNA is filed under the name uncultured euryarchaeote. RNAcentral describes it as "bacterial SSU rRNA". It matches the Rfam family "Archaeal small subunit ribosomal RNA", at positions 339 to 868 of the family's 1478-position model. The record is from RNAcentral. Lineage: Archaea; Methanobacteriati; Methanobacteriota.
GCGCGAAACCUUUACAAUGCAGGAAACUGUGAUAAGGGAACCCAAAGUGCUUAUCUUUGAUAGGCUUUUGCCGUAUGUAAAUAGUACGGAGAAUAAGCGAUGGGAAAGACUGGUGCCAGCCGCCGCGGUAACACCAGCGUCGCAAGUGGCGAUCCUUUUUAUUUGGCCUAAAGCGUCCGUAGCUGGUUUUGUAAAUCUUUUGUGAAAUUGUUCAGCUUAACUGAACAACGCGUAGGAGAGACUGCAUGACUAGGGACCGGGAGGAGUCAGAGAUAUAUCAGGGGGAGCGGUAAAAUGCUAUAAUCCUUGAUAGAUCACCUGUGGCGAAGGCGUCUGACUAGAACGGGUCCGACAGUGAGGGACGAAAGCUAGGGGAGCAAACCGGAUUAGAUACCCGAGUAGUCCUAGCCGUAAACGCUGUGAGUUAGGUGUUGCGCAAUCUCCGUGAUUGCGCAGUGUCGAAGCGAAGGUGUUAAACUCACCGCCUGGGAAGUAUGGUCGCAAGACUGAAACUUAAAGGAAUUGG